This 408-nucleotide ribosomal RNA is filed under the name uncultured bacterium. RNAcentral's name for it is "partial 16S ribosomal RNA". It matches the Rfam family "Bacterial small subunit ribosomal RNA", at positions 28 to 526 of the family's 1533-position model. The record is from RNAcentral.
GACGAACGCUGGCGGCGUGCUUAACACAUGCAAGUCGAACGAAGUGGCGAACGGGUGAGUAAUACGUGAGUAACCUGCCCUCCUUUUUGGGAUAAGCCUUGGAAACGGGGUCUAAUACCGAAUAAAGGGGGAUGGGCCCGCGGCCUAUCAGCUUGUUGGUGGGGUGAUGGCCUACCAAGGCGGUGACGGGUAGCCGGCCUGAGAGGGUGACCCGCCACAUUAGAAAUGGUAUACGGCCCAGACUGCUACGGGAGGCAGCAAUAGGGGAUAUUGGACAAUGGGCGAAAGCCUGAUGCAGCGGCGCCGCGUGAGGGAUGAAGGCUUGCGGGUUGUAAACCUCGUUGGCUAUCGGACGGGUAGGUGGAGAAGAAGCGCCGGCUAACUACGUGCCAGCAGCCGCGGUAAUUC